AACGAACGCUGGCGGCAUGCCUAACACAUGCAAGUCGAACGAGACCUUCGGGUCUAGUGGCGCACGGGUGCGUAACGCGUGGGAACCUGCCCUUAGGUUCGGAAUAACUCCCCGAAAGGGGUGCUAAUACCGGAUAAUGUCUUCGGACCAAAGAUUUAUCGCCUUUGGAUGGGCCCGCGUUGGAUUAGCUAGUUGGUAGGGUAAAAGCCUACCAAGGCGACGAUCCAUAGCUGGUCUGAGAGGAUGAUCAGCCACACUGGGACUAAGACACGGCCCAGACUCCUACGGGAGGCAGCAGUGGGAAAUAUUGGACAAUGGGCGAAAGCCUGAUCCAGCAAUGCCGCGUGAGUGAUGAAGGCCUUAGGGUUGUAAAGCUCUUUUACCCGGGAUGAUAAUGACAGUACCGGGAGAAUAAGCUCCGGCUAACUCCGUG
Molecule: ribosomal RNA, 433 nt
Filed under: uncultured bacterium
Lineage: Bacteria
Description: partial 16S ribosomal RNA
Rfam family: Bacterial small subunit ribosomal RNA
Source: RNAcentral